GCAGAAAUUCGCCCUUCGGUAAUUCCAGCUCCAAUAGCGUAUACUAAAGUUGUUGCAGUUAAAAAGCUCGUAGUUGGAUUUCUGCGGGGACGGAGCGGCCGGACGCAACUUGCGUCUCGAGCUAGCGCUUUCCCCGCAUCCUGCCGCGAACCGUGCUACCAUUAGUUUGGUGGCGCUGGGGAUCGGCUCGAUUACUUUGAGAAAAAUAGAGUGUUCAAAGCAGGCCACACGCCUUGAAUAAGUUAGCAUGGAAUAAUGACUAAGGACUUCGGUUCUAUUUUGUUGGUGUUCGGGACUGAAGUAAUGAUUGAUAGGGACAGUUGGGGCGGUCUGUAUUCCAAAGCGAGAGGUGAAAUUCUUAGACCUUCGGAAGACAAACAGCUGCGAAAGCGUUCCGCAAGGAUGUUCCCUUUGAUCAAGAACGAAAGUUGGGGGAUCGAAGACGAUCAGAUACCGUCGUAGUCUCAACUAUAAACUAUACCAGCUAGGGAUCGGCCAACGUUUAAUUAUUCGACUUGGUCGGCACCUUAUGAGAAAUCAAAGCAUCUGGGUUCCGGGGGGAGUAUGGUCGCAAGGCUGAAACUUAAAGGAAUUGACGGAAGGGCACCACCAGCCGUGGAGCCUGUGGCUUAAUUUGACUCAACACGGGAAAACUUACCAGGUCCAGACAUAGGAAGGAUUGACAGAUUGAUAGCUCUUUCUUGAUUCUGUGGGUGGUGGUGCAUGGCCGUUUUUAGUUGGUGGAGUGAUUUGUCUGCUUAAUUGCGUUAACGAACGAGACCCCAGCCUGCUAAAUAGCGCGGCCGAGCUUUGCUCGGUGCGAGCUUCUUAGAGGGACCAUAAUGCGCGAUAGCACAAGGAAGUUUGGGGCAACAACAGGUCUGUGAUGCCCUUAGAUGUUCUGGGCCGCACACGGGCUACACUGGCGCCUGCAACGAGCAUAUCAGCUGGCCCGAGAGGGUCUUGGCUAAUCUUUUGAACCGGCGCCGUGCUUGGGAUUGACCUUUGCAAUUGUUGGUCAUGCAACGAGGAAUGCCUUGUAAACGCGAGUCAUCAGCUCGCAUUGAAUACGUCCCUGCCCUUUGUACACACCGCCC
RNAcentral lists this ribosomal RNA (1097 nucleotides) under uncultured Rhizaria. RNAcentral's name for it is "SSU rRNA". It matches the Rfam family "Eukaryotic small subunit ribosomal RNA", at positions 567 to 1674 of the family's 1831-position model. The record is from RNAcentral.